This 434-nucleotide unclassified non-coding RNA is filed under the name Hevea brasiliensis (rubber tree). The record is from RNAcentral. Lineage: Eukaryota; Viridiplantae; Streptophyta; Magnoliopsida; Malpighiales; Euphorbiaceae.
UUCUCCUCGCUAUAAGGCACCUGCAGCAGAAUAAGAUAAGGACAGAAUAAGAGUCGUAUAUAAUUUCCAAUUGGAUGCAAAAUGGCUGCUUCUUCUAUAAUGUUACUUCACUCUAUAUUUAACUCUUGCACUUGUAAUCACUUUCAACAGCCAUUAUAAAAAUGCAUGCUUCACCUUAGUUUUAGAAAGGAAAAUUUACAGUAGAGUAUGUUCUGAGUUGAAUAAUCUAUGCUCAAGCAAUAAUUGCAGAGGGCAUUCAGAUAGUGUAUAGCGGCAGAAAUUUACCCUCUUGCUUUUUAUCCACUUUCUUCUUAAUUUACAAACUAUACUGAUUGGCCCCCAACAUUUUAAUGUUAAAAGGAUCCAGCCAAAUAAAACUACUAAUGUUCUUAUCAGUAAAGAUCUAAACAUCAACCCAUGCUUAUAACCGGUGA